GAUGAAGAACGCAGCGAAAUGCGAUACGUAGUGUGAAUUGCAGAAAACCGUGAACCAUCGAAUCUUUGAACGCAUAUUGCGCUCGAGCCUUCGGGCAAGAGCAUGUCUGCCUCAGCGUCGGGUUAAUACUCGCCCUCUGACUCCCUUUGUGGAGUGUAAGAGAGCGGAACUGGUAGUCCCAGCUCCUCACCGAGCUGGGUCUGCUGAAGCACAGAGGUUGAUGUAUGGACCCGUUAUGGGCCGCAACUGGGUAGGCAAUUCGUUGCUAAUUCUUAGUUAUUGGCUUGGGCUGUGCUGUCGACCCUCAACCAGGAAUAACUAUAUUAACCUAUUUUCUCGACCUGAGCUCAGGCAAGGUUACCCGCUGAACUUAAGCAUAUCAAUAAGCGGAGGA
This 394-nucleotide unclassified non-coding RNA is filed under the name soil metagenome. RNAcentral's name for it is "partial contains 5.8S ribosomal RNA, internal transcribed spacer 2, and large subunit ribosomal RNA". The stretch from base 1 to 120 matches the Rfam family "5.8S ribosomal RNA", at positions 35 to 154 of the family's 154-position model. The record is from RNAcentral.